UACGGGGGGAGCAAGCGUUGUUCGGAUUUACUGGGCGUAAAGGGCGCGUAGGCGGUCAGCACAAGUCAGUUGUGAAAUCUCCGGGCUUAACUCGGAAAGGUCAACUGAUACUGUGCGACUAGAGUGCAGAAGGGGCAACUGGAAUUCUCGGUGUAGCGGUGGAAUGCGUAGAUAUCGGGAGGAACACCAGUGGCGAAGGCGGUUGCCUGGAGCUUUGCUGACGCUGAGGCGCGAAAGCGUGGGGAGCGAUCCGG
This 254-nucleotide ribosomal RNA is filed under the name uncultured bacterium. RNAcentral's name for it is "partial 16S ribosomal RNA". It matches the Rfam family "Bacterial small subunit ribosomal RNA", at positions 524 to 776 of the family's 1533-position model. The record is from RNAcentral.